Long non-coding RNA from Oryzias latipes (Japanese medaka), 1611 nucleotides. RefSeq lists it as uncharacterized. Lineage: Eukaryota; Metazoa; Chordata; Actinopteri; Beloniformes; Adrianichthyidae. The record is from RefSeq and is a predicted model, not a curated record.
GCCGAGGUUCAUGCAGGUGUGGCAGGAUUAAUUGGCUCAGGUGCUGUAGGGCAGAGGAUUACUAGCAGUGGCCUCAUGGGGCGCUAUAAAGGGCAAAGAAGCCUUCACUCGGCCAGGGGCAGCAUUUGGCCAUUGGAACCGCCCACUUCCUGUUUUCACACCUCCGGCUAGCCUCACAGGUAAAGUAGCGGUGGUAGGCUAAGGACAAGAGUUUGUUCGCUGCCUCAUAUUAACACACUCUUUCAGCUCCGGAUGAGACCUGCAGGCACAGAUUGAGCAAAAUACAGCCUCUGCCAUCGAGCGCGCCUCCCAGGUGACGAACAGUCUGUCUGCGCCGGGGACUUUCUGACGCUCCCACCUGCUGAACAGCUGCUGCUUUUUAUAUAUUGAAUUUUAGAAUUAUUUUAAGGAACUGUCACCGCUCGUGAUCAGAAUCCCUGUAGACUCCUGACCAGGGUUCUGCCGGGCCCGGGUGCUCCUCAGCUGCCUUUGAGCCUGAGCAACGGAGGACUAACGGGGCGUCACGCCUGAAUCCUCCACCAACGAGAAUAAAAGCUCGGCCGCGCUCCGUUCAUUGAGCAGCACCCUACGGGCGGACUUACUCUCACGAGAGUUUCUUUUAUUUUGUUUUUAGCAUUUUUACACAAUUCUUUUAGACCUGUGUUUUAACUGGAUUUUAUUGUGUGAUCCACCUUUGUUUCCCCCCUCCCUCAGUGCUGAGGACUCAGGUGCCAGCCCAGAAUUCUAAGUGGAGGCUAUCCCCCCCAGUUUGGAGUGACGUGUCCUUGGGUGAAGGUUUCACAGUGUGUGUGUGGUCUGCAUCACAAGCAGCAGCUGGUUCCGCUUGGAAGUGAGGAAGGUGAUUUGUGCAAGUGCUGAGGACUCAGGUGCCAGCCCAGAAUUCUAGGUGGAGGCUAUCCCCCCAGUUUGGAGUGACGUGUCCUUGGGUGAAGGUUUCACAGUGUGUGUGUGGUCUGCAUCACAAAAAUAAACUCCCUCGGGACCACACAGGCGACUCACCGUGACGAUGGCCUUCCCCACCGUCCCCCCGGGUCUGAGCAGAGCUUUGGACAGUUUCCUCUGCGAGAUGAUCUGCAAACACAGACAAACCUGCUGAACAAACGUCUGCAGGUUCACAACUUACAGUCCUGACCCGAAGCUCCAGCAGAGUCAGAGCUGAGGUGGAAGAGACGCCAUCUGCCAAAGAUCUGUGCACAUCCCAAAGUAAAGCUCGACGCCUAAUUCUUUUGAAGUGGAAGGAUGUCGCCCCCCCCACAGUGACGCAUUAGGGACGUGCUGCACCAUCUCAAAUUAGAAAAAAAUCAUUAUACUGUGAGAAAGAACAUUCGUUGAGACAUGGAGGCCUUUCCUGGACUUUGUCGAUCAGCCGUCUACAAAUGUUCAGGAUUAACUUUGGUUUUAUGCACAGGUGACUGAUUUUGUUGUACCUUCUGUGUGUGCGGCUAACUUCUCUUUCCUUUUUCUUUUCAUGUGAGUUUAUUUGACAGCAGGUUUGGAGUUUGGUUUUUUUCUUUUUUGUUAUUAUUUUUCCGGUUUGUGUAAUAUAUUUGUAAAACCAAAUAAACAAAUUAAACACUAUAUUCUGGUCCA